AAUGAACGCUGGUGGUGUGCCUAAUACAUGCAAGUCGUGCGAGAAGUUUACUUCUAGCGGCGAACGGGUGAGUAACACGUGUUUAAUCUACCCUUUGUUUGGAAUAACAUUAAGAAAUUGAUGCUAAUAUUGAAUAGGUAAUAUUGACUUCGGUUUUUAUUAUUAAAGAAGCGUUUGUCUUCGCUAAAGGAUGAGAAUGCGCAGCAUUAGGUAGUUGGUAGAGUAAAAAGCCUACCAAGCAACGAUGCUUAGCCGGCCUGAGAGGGUGAACGGCCACACUGGAACUGAGAC
Molecule: ribosomal RNA, 291 nt
Filed under: uncultured bacterium
Lineage: Bacteria
Description: partial 16S ribosomal RNA
Rfam family: Bacterial small subunit ribosomal RNA
Source: RNAcentral